CCCACACUUAAAGUGGGGGGCAUUAGGCUCCAUCUUUUGUAGGAAGGUGUAUCCAAGAAUUUGUGAACAUCUUUUUAAACCAGCACAUUAGCUGUCAUUAGAAUUUGAAGAAAUGCUUGAUUUGCUAUUUGGCUCAAGGAGCAGAAGAGGACAGAGGAAGUUACAGUGCAUUUCCAUUUCUUGUCCAAUUUCCAGUCCCAUGUCAGUAGAGCUGAACCUUGGAUGGCCUAGCAACAUCUCUUCGGAGGUCUGCUUGGCAGAGAGAAGGAAGGAGCUUGUGUUGGAAAACAGCAUUCUGCAGCUCUCAGCCCACAGCUGUCCAUCCCCUCUGACCCCUGUCAGUUCUACAAUGGGGAGAACAAGAUAAGGAAUACUCCCCUUCUCAUCAAAAAGACAAGAAUUUUAUAUAUAGCAGGCACCACACAGUGCCUCCUUGGCCAACAUCCAGGCUGCCUAGAGGAAUUUGUCUACAACAAAACAAAUAAAAGCUGUCCUGUGACUCAAACAGCGGGUGGUCUAAGUCCACUACACAGCAGCUUCUCUAU
RNAcentral lists this long non-coding RNA (545 nucleotides) under Equus caballus (horse). RNAcentral's name for it is "lncRNA (ENSECAG00000047742.1)". The record is from RNAcentral. Lineage: Eukaryota; Metazoa; Chordata; Mammalia; Perissodactyla; Equidae.